AAAAAAUCUUUUGAUCAUAGUCAAAAGACUGAUGUACACUGGAGGAAGCACGGCUAACUCGUGCCAGCAGCGCGUAAUACGGAGGGUGCAAGCGUGUUCGGAUUACUGGGCGUAAAGAGCGUGUAGGCGGUUUAGCAAGUCAGAUGUGAAAGCCCUGGGCUCAACCCGGGAAGUGCAUUUGAAACUGCUUCACUAGAGUAUGGGAGAGGAGAUUGGAAUUCCUGGUGUAGAGGUGAAAUUCGUAGAUAUCAGGAGGAACACCCGUGGCGAAGGCGAUUCUCUGGACCAAUACUGACGCUGAGACGCGAAAGCGUGGGGGGCAAACAGGAUUAGAUACCCUGGUAGUCCACGCCGUAAACGAUGAGAACUAGGUGUAGUGGGUAUUGACCCCUGCUGUGCCGAAGUUAACGCAUUAAGUUCUCCGCCUGGGGAGUACGGCCGCAAGGCUAAAACUCAAAGGAAUUGACGGGGGCCCGCACAAGCGGUGGAGCAUGUGGUUUAAUUCGACGCAACGCGAAGAACCUUACCUGGGUUUGACAUCCUCUGACCGUCUGGGAAACCAGAUUUUUCCGGCUUUGUCGGAACAGAGUGACAGGUGCUGCAUGGCUGUCGUCAGCUCGUGUCGUGAGAUGUUGGGUUAAGUCCCGCAACGAGCGUAACCCUUGUCUUUAGUUGCCAUUAUUAAGUUAGGCACUCUAAAGAGACUGCCUCGGUUAACGGGGAGGAAGGUGGGGAUGACGUCAAGUCCUCAUGGCCUUUAUAUCCAGGGCUACACACGUGCUACAAUGGGCUGUACAAAGGGUUGCUAUCCCGCGAGGGGGCGCCAAUCCCAAAAAGCAGUUCUCAGUUCGGAUUGAAGUCUGCAACUCGACUUCAUGAAGGUGGAAUCGCUAGUAAUCGUGGAUCAGCAUGCCACGGUGAAUACGUUCCCGGGCCUUGUACACACCGCCCGUCACACCACGAAAGUCGACCGUACCAGAAGUUGCUGGGCUAACCUCUUCGGAGGGGGCAGGU
Molecule: ribosomal RNA, 1014 nt
Filed under: uncultured delta proteobacterium
Lineage: Bacteria; Deltaproteobacteria
Description: bacterial SSU rRNA
Rfam family: Bacterial small subunit ribosomal RNA
Source: RNAcentral